GACGAACGCUGGCGGCGUGCUUAACACAUGCAAGUCGAACGGAAAGGCCCUGCUUUUGUGGGGUGCUCGAGUGGCGAACGGGUGAGUAACACGUGAGUAACCUGCCCUUGACUUUGGGAUAACUUCAGGAAACUGGGGCUAAUACCGGCUAGGAGCUCCUGCUGCAUGGUGGGGGUUGGAAAGUUUCGGCGGUUGGGGAUGGACUCGCGGCUUAUCAGCUUGUUGGUGGGGUAGUGGCUUACCAAGGCUUUGACGGGUAGCCGGCCUGAGAGGGUGACCGGCCACAUUGGGACUGAGAUACGGCCCAGACGCCUACGGGAGGCAGCAGUGGGGAAUAUUGCACAAUGGGCGGAAGCCUGAUGCAGCAACGCCGCGUGCGGGAUGACGGCCUUCUGGUUGUAAACCGCUUUCGCCUGUGACGAAGCGUGAGUGACGGUAAUGGGUAAAGAAGCACCGGCUAACUACGUG
This 468-nucleotide ribosomal RNA is filed under the name uncultured bacterium. RNAcentral's name for it is "partial 16S ribosomal RNA". It matches the Rfam family "Bacterial small subunit ribosomal RNA", at positions 28 to 507 of the family's 1533-position model. The record is from RNAcentral.